UUUCGAGGAUUUAUAUGAAAUGAAAAGACAACUUCCCAAAAACUAUUUCCUGCCUGAAAUACUACGUACCUGAUACCUGAAUGAUGAGAAUUUUGGAGGACCUAAAUUGUCACAGUUCAAACCUCUACAAAUUCUUUGCACAGACGUAUAUUUUUUGUUCUAGCUUCUGACAGAAGAAGAAAAGUAUGAAAUUUGCUUGCAGAGCAAACGUGACUUUUCUACAUCCACAAGGGAUGACCAACACCUCUCCAGUCACCUCCUGGUUCAGUGAAAGUACCACAGCAGCCUUCAGACUCAGCAGUGAGUAACGAGAUCUACCCAGGCAACCACAGCUGCUUUUCAGGCCAGCGAGAGCCGUGUAAUGUAACUGCAGGCCAUGUAGAUUAGCUAAGCAAGUCAACCUGCAGCAUGAACAGCUAAGCUCCAGCCAAUGACAUCCCUUUGCUGCAGAGAACGGGAGUCUCUGCACAGGAAGACUGAAUUGCUUUGUGGCCCAGGAAUGACUGCCAGAAUGUUCAGGCUCAUUAGCAGUACCUGCUGAAGUCCCCUGCAACUCAUGGUCAAGAUCACCUGCAAACUUACAAUGUGAGUGUGAUACAAGAAGAUACAAGGUGGGGCCCCUGAAUGUGUGACACAAGCAUGGUCAGUUUAGCAGUCAGCAGAAGGAAAACAGACCAACACUGAUCACAGGAGACAGGGCUGGAAAUCUAAUCCCUUGGAUCCCUUCCAGCAUUUCAUUCACUAGAACAUGUUGCUUCCAACAAACAUGGACCAAGAUAUGACUAAUGAGCUAUUAGCAGGGGACUUGCUGGGCAUCUGUGGAAGCAAGCGUAAGGUUCAAUGCUAUUUACUAAGAAUUAAAUUUAUAAUUUUGAGAUUUAAACCAACAUAUUGGUUUAAUCUUGGUUACUGCUCAUAACAGGCUGUUGGAUGCCCAUGAGCUGUUUGCUAUCAGUAGCCACACCUAACCAAUUACUUUCACGGAGUGGACUGUAACCUGACAUUAUUUUUGUCUGGUUUUCUAGAGAAGGAACAACUGAGUGCUCAAGGCAGUUCACGGUCUGUCUGCACUCGCCCCGGUAACUUUUGAUCCUUCAGGCCAUCUUCAACCAACUUUGAAAGUGGAGCAGGCAUCUUAAAGACAGUUGAAUUUUUACAUAAUUAAUUCAAAUGGGUAGAAGAGAAAGACUCAAGUUUGUGAAUGGGAUGAGACCGACAAGCAGAACUCAGCUGCUGUGUUUGGCAGCAAAUAACGACCCAAUCAGCAGAGGUCUGAGAUCAAAAUAUUCAGCACAUGUGUUAGCACUAGCCCGUGGGAUGCUGUAAAGAGUGCAGGAGAAUCUAGGGCUGUUUUGGUGUUGAGGAUUAGGAUAUAAACAUAGAAACGUUCAGGUAGAACAUAAAUCUACAUGAAUGUAUUUCCUUAACUUCACUGCUUGUAUAGAGCUUUGUAUUCUUUCCAUAGUGGUGAGACUGUACUAGGCAAUUUUUAGAGUGGGAAAAAAAAAAAAAAGAGAGAAAGCAAGAAAGCCAACCUCAAAGAUUUCCUAAACUAGAAAAUAACAGCAACAUCACAG
Cygnus atratus (black swan) is the source of this 1577-nucleotide long non-coding RNA. RefSeq lists it as uncharacterized. The transcript has 3 exons. The record is from RefSeq and is a predicted model, not a curated record. NCBI's taxonomy places the organism in Eukaryota, Metazoa, Chordata, Aves, Anseriformes, Anatidae.